GCCAGGCAUGGUGGUGCAUGCCUGUAAUCCCAGCUACUCGGGAGGCUGAGGCAGGAGAAUCGCUUGAACCCAGGAGGCGGAGGUUGCAGUGAGCUGAGAUCGUGCCACUGCACUCCAGCCUGGGUGACAGAGCAAGACUCUGUCUAAA
This 148-nucleotide non-coding RNA is filed under the name Nomascus leucogenys (northern white-cheeked gibbon). Lineage: Eukaryota; Metazoa; Chordata; Mammalia; Primates; Hylobatidae. The record is from Rfam by way of RNAcentral.